CAAGGAUUUCUUAGGGUGAUAUCUUUUAAUUAUCUUUUCUUAUCACUCUAAUAAAUCCUUGCC
This 63-nucleotide microRNA precursor is filed under the name Alligator mississippiensis (American alligator). Its description in RNAcentral is "Ami-Mir-9606_pre stem-loop". The record is from RNAcentral. Lineage: Eukaryota; Metazoa; Chordata; Crocodylia; Alligatoridae.